GUGGGGAAUUUUGGACAAUGGGCGCAAGCCUGAUCCAGCAAUGCCGCGUGCAGGAAGAAGGCCUUCGGGUUGUAAACUGCUUUUGUACGGAACGAAACGGUCCGGGUUAAUACCCUGGGCUAAUGACGGUACCGUAAGAAUAAGCACCGGCUAACUACGUGCCAGCAGCCGCGGUAAUACGUAGGGUGCAAGCGUUAAUCGGAAUUACUGGGCGUAAAGCGUGCGCAGGCGGUUUUGUAAGACAGUGGUGAAAUCCCCGGGCUCAACCUGGGAACUGCCAUUGUGACUGCAAGGCUAGAGUGCGGCAGAGGGGGAUGGAAUUCCGCGUGUAGCAGUGAAAUGCGUAGAUAUGCGGAGGAACACCGAUGGCGAAGGCAAUCCCCUGGGCCUGCACUGACGCUCAUGCACGAAAGCGUGGGGAGCAAACAGGAUUAGAUACCCUUGUAGUCC
This 450-nucleotide ribosomal RNA is filed under the name uncultured bacterium. RNAcentral's name for it is "partial 16S ribosomal RNA". It matches the Rfam family "Bacterial small subunit ribosomal RNA", at positions 354 to 796 of the family's 1533-position model. The record is from RNAcentral.